RNAcentral lists this ribosomal RNA (458 nucleotides) under uncultured Bdellovibrio sp. RNAcentral describes it as "bacterial SSU rRNA". It matches the Rfam family "Bacterial small subunit ribosomal RNA", at positions 29 to 505 of the family's 1533-position model. Lineage: Bacteria; Pseudomonadati; Bdellovibrionota; Bdellovibrionia; Bdellovibrionales; Pseudobdellovibrionaceae. The record is from RNAcentral.
AACAAACGUUGGCGGCGUGCCUAAUACAUGCAAGUCGAACGAGAAAGUACCUUCGGGUGCGAGUACAGUGGCGCACGGGUGAGUAACACGUGGAUAACGUGCCAUUUGGUGGGGAACAACCUGGGGAAACCCAGGCUAAUACCGCAUAAGACCACAGUCUCUGCGGAGACAGGGGUUAAAGAUUUAUCGCCAAUUGAUCGGUCCGCGUAUGAUUAGCUUGAUGGUGGGGUAAAGGCCUCCAUGGCUACGAUCAUUAGCUGGUCUGAGAAGAUGAUCAGCCACACUGGAACUGAGACACGGUCCAGACUCCUACGGGAGGCAGCAGUAGGGAAUAUUGCGCAAUGGAGGAAACUCUGACGCAGCAACGCCGCGUGUGUGAUGAAGGCUCUAGGGUCGUAAAGCACUGUCGCAGGGGAAGAUAAUGACGGUACCCUGCAAGAAAGGACCGGCUAACUUCG